RNAcentral lists this non-coding RNA (253 nucleotides) under Rubrobacter sp. Its description in RNAcentral is "partial 16S ribosomal RNA". It matches the Rfam family "Bacterial small subunit ribosomal RNA", at positions 524 to 776 of the family's 1533-position model. RNAcentral also lists the same sequence under 2 other names. The record is from RNAcentral. Lineage: Bacteria; Bacillati; Actinomycetota; Rubrobacteria; Rubrobacterales; Rubrobacteraceae.
UACGUAGGGGGCGAGCGUUGUCCGGAAUUAUUGGGCGUAAAGAGCGUGUAGGCGGUUCGGUAAGUCUGCCGUGAAAACCUGGGGCUCAACCCUGGGCGUGCGGUGGAUACUGCCGGGCUAGAGGAUGGUAGAGGCGAGUGGAAUUCCCGGUGUAGCGGUGAAAUGCGCAGAUAUCGGGAGGAACACCAGUAGCGAAGGCGGCUCGCUGGGCCAUUCCUGACGCUGAGACGCGAAAGCAUGGGGAGCGAACAGG